RNAcentral lists this long non-coding RNA (540 nucleotides) under Ananas comosus (pineapple). Its description in RNAcentral is "long non-coding RNA (ACOM_LNC033509)". The record is from RNAcentral. Lineage: Eukaryota; Viridiplantae; Streptophyta; Magnoliopsida; Poales; Bromeliaceae.
AAUAAGUCAUUUGAGUUACACAAAAAUUGAUGGAAUAAAAUUAUCAAAAAAACUGAUUAAAUUAGCAUUUGCAUCAACAAACUAAAUAUAGUAUAUAGAUUGUUGGCUUAUAGGUAUAUGAAAAGUGGGCUUUACAAUUUAACGGUAGUUAAAAACAAACUAUUAUUAUUUUUAAAUUUAUUUGUAUGACUAACAUAUAUUCCUUUAUACUUUUUCUUCUAUUCCUUUAUAUUUCGUACUCAUUCUCUGAUGGCAUGACAAUUUAGAUGUCCAGAGGCAAAUACAAUAAUAAUUGGCUUUUAAGAUAAAUCUAAUUUGAGUUAGGAAAGAUGAUAGGAUAGAUAAAUAUCUUUAUAUGAUUAGUUAAAUGUGAAUUUGAGUUUCUUUAGCUUUUCUUUCAUUAUUUAUUAUCUUUCAUAAUAUUUUAAAUAUUUUUUCUGUUUCUUUUUAACAUUUUUAUUUGUUUGUUAAAUCUGUAGUCUGUAGAUUUUUACUAAAGUAUUUCUACCCGCCGCAUCGCGCGGGUCCCCAUGCUAGUAU